Molecule: long non-coding RNA, 201 nt
Filed under: Elaeis guineensis (African oil palm)
Lineage: Eukaryota; Viridiplantae; Streptophyta; Magnoliopsida; Arecales; Arecaceae
Description: long non-coding RNA (EGUI_LNC004458)
Source: RNAcentral
AAGAAUCGACUAAUUGCUCUUUUAUAGGAGAAUGUGGAUCUAUUUGCUUGAUCGACCCAGACAUGCCCAACAUCGAUCCGACGGUGAUAUCCCAUCACCUCAAGAUGGAUCCAACUCAUCUCUCGAUGAAGCAAAAAAAGCAGAGUUUCACCCCGGAGUGCCAAAAAACUAUAACCGAGGUGGACAAGCUUCUCAAAGCCG